UGUCCCAGCCGCCGCGGUAAUACGGAGGGUGCAAGCGUUACUCGGAAUCACUGGGCGUAAAGAGCGUGUAGGCGGGUAUAUAAGUCAGAAGUGAAAUCCUAUAGCUUAACUAUAGAACUGCUUUUGAAACUGUAUACCUAGAAUGUGGGAGAGGUAGAUGGAAUUUCUGGUGUAGGGGUAAAAUCCGUAGAGAUCAGAAGGAAUACCGAUUGCGAAGGCGAUCUACUGGAACAUUAUUGACGCUGAGACGCGAAAGCGUGGGGAGCAAACAGGAUUAGAUACCCUGGUAGUCCACGCCCUAAACGAUGUACACUAGUUGUUGUGAGGCUCGACCUUGCAGUAAUGCAGUUAACACAUUAAGUGUACCGCCUGGGGAGUACGGUCGCAAGAUUAAAACUCAAAGGAAUAGACGGGGACCCGCACAAGCGGUGGAGCAUGUGGUUUAAUUCGACGAUACACGAAGAACCUUACCUGGACUUGACAUAGUAAGAACUUUCUAGAGAUAGAUUGGUGUCUGCUUGCAGAAACUUAUAUACAGGUGCUGCACGGCUGUC
RNAcentral lists this ribosomal RNA (554 nucleotides) under uncultured bacterium. Its description in RNAcentral is "bacterial SSU rRNA". It matches the Rfam family "Bacterial small subunit ribosomal RNA", at positions 504 to 1053 of the family's 1533-position model. The record is from RNAcentral.